Molecule: long non-coding RNA, 19693 nt
Organism: Acinonyx jubatus (cheetah)
Lineage: Eukaryota; Metazoa; Chordata; Mammalia; Carnivora; Felidae
Exons: 2
Source: RefSeq, a predicted model, not a curated record
UACAGAUUAAUACAUGGUAAAGCCAGAGUUUGAUGCUGGCUUAGAAGCCUGCCUUUUACACCACUGUGUUAUUCAUUAACCCACAAUCAGUUUUAGUUUUCAUAUCUUUCCUAUACACCAUAUAUAGACACAUUUCGUUAAUCAAAUGGAAUCAUACUAUACUUUUAUCCAUAACAAUAUUUAACUAUUCUCCACUAGAGGGAUAUUUACAUUUACUACUUUGUAAAUAAUAUUAUUUAUGAAUAACAGAUUCCCAGAAAUGGAUUUGCUAUGUCAAAGUGCAUUUUUUCUUCCUCUGGAUUUUUAAUUUUUGUCACACAGACCCAAGAAAAUGUGUAUUUUAAACAUUUGCCUCUUUUUGACGUUAGUAUUUGUACUUGCAUAUAACCAAUUGUCCCAGAAAACUUAGUAUCUGGUAGAACAAGUCCAAAUUCUUAUUUUUUCAAAAUUGCCUUUGCUAUUCUCGGUCCCUUGUUCUUCUGUAUAAAUGUUUUAGCCACUUUCUCAAAUUGCAUAUUAAUGCUAGUAAUUUUCCCAUGGAUCUCUGUUGCAAGUCCUCCAUAGACAGUCAUAGAGUCUGCCAUUAAGAACUUUUUCUUCCUUUCCAAUCCUACUCUUCUCUUCCUUCCUCCUUCUCCCAGCUCUUUCUUAACUGUGUAACAAGACCUGCCACAAAGUGUCGAAUACCAAGUAGUCACUCAUAAUGGGCAUGUUUGUCCAUUCCUCCUCUUAAAGUGAACGUGUCUAACAUUCUAUCCCAAUAUAUUGGUGGCAUUAGGUUUUGGUGAUGAUCAUAAUAGCUAUGUAACAGAACUGAAGCACAGUACUUUUAAAAUGAGUCUAAAAUCAUGAAUUUUACUACCAAAAAAGUAGCAGAAAGUAGGUUAGGAAAUAGGGAAAGUACGCACAUUUCUUUUUAUAUAAGUGACAGUCUAUAGCAACUCCCUCGUUCCUGACAUUAUUCAUUCAAAAAAUAGGUUUACAUAUGUCUUCCAAACAUUUAAAGAUAAACAGGAACAUUACAAAUCAACAGAAGUCCCCCAAACACAAAUUUUAAAAAGAGAGUAAAAGAAAGUUAAUAAAAGAUUAAAAACAAAGCCAGCAAGGUAGCAUUAAAAAAAAAAAAAAAAGGCAAGAAGGGAUUAUAAAAUAAACUUUCAGAAGAUCAAGUGAUAAUCUUAAAACUGGACCACUGAAAUUAAAAGUUUUCAAAAAUGUGAAGAAAUGGAACAAAGAUUCAGUAGUUAUGAACCUGUAAGUGCUCAACAUAGCACAGAAUAUAUAUAACAAAAAGGAUUAAUAUGGAAAAAUAUGUAAAAGCAGUAUGAGAAUUUACAUUUCUCACUCCUUGAGAGACAUAUAGAUAGUAAGUAAAGAUCUCCCCAGUGUUCAAUGAAUAAUAUUGAUUGAAUGGUUAUAUGACAAACUGUACCAAGGGAAAUGCCCUGUACCAGAGCACUCAGGAAAUAUUUACAAAAUGUGUUUGGUUAGAAGGUUAAAAAGAUAUCCUUAAUAAGUUCCCCAAAGUGGACUGUAUACAAUGACUACAUGUAAUACAAACUGUAAGUUAUUGGGGUACCUGGGUGGCUCAGUUGGUUGAGCGUCCGACUUCAGCUCAGGUCAUAGCUUGCCAAUUCAAGCCCCGCGUCGGGCUCUGUGCUGACAGUUCAGAGCCUGGAACCUGCUUCGGAUUCUGUCUCCCUCUCUCUCUGCCCCUGCCCCACUCACGCUCUGUCUCUCUCAAAAAUAAACAUUAAAAAAAAAAAAAAGAAAGAAAAGAAAAGAAAAGAAAAGAAAAGAAAAGAAAAGAAACUAUAAGUUAUUAACAAAACACUAAAGUAAAAAAUAAAGUAUAUCCAGCCACCUGGAAAUUCAAACACACUAUCCUCAGUAAGCCUUGGAUCAAACACGCUAUCAAAUUUGCAGCCACCAAAUAUUUAGAAAACAGUAAUGAUAACACACCAUCCUCAACAUACGGAAUGGAGCCAAAGAAAAUAAUCAGAGAAUCCAUACCAUUAACAUGGCUUUAGAAUCGAAGAAAGAAAAAUAAAUGGAUCAGUCAUUCAUACUCAAGAGGUGGGAAUAAGUAAGGGAAGUAGAAGAAAGGAAUCAAAGUCAAAAUACUGAAAUAAAUGAGAAAACAGGUAAUAGAUCCUUCCUUCCCUGGUAGUGAGAGAAAGGAUGGAGGAAGAAGGGAGCAAACCAGAGCUAGUCUAAUCAAGGAGAAGAAAAGACACAAAAAGGAGAUUGGUAAUAGAUAAUAUAUGUAUUUACAACAGUGAGAUUAUUAAGUGCAACUAUAUGCUAAGAACAGUUUAAAUAUAAGGUAGACCACAAUGACAAAUUUCCAGAAAAAGGAAAAUUACCAACAUUUACUCAAGAAACAGAAUGCUGAACAGAGCAAGAACAUAUGAGGAAACAGAAAUACUGUGAAAGAAUUACCUUCAAGAAAAGAGUCAGGUGUAUCUGGGUAUAAGUAAAACAGCAUCAACUUCAAUAAACAAUCAUUCUCAAAUAUAUAAACUAUUCCAAAUCAAACAAAACAGGAGAUAGUUUUCCAGUUUAUUCUGCACAGCUAUCAAAACCUGUAAAUUAAAACCAGACUUGUUUCUUAUGAACAAACGUAAAUACAAAAUCCUAAAUACAGGGUUAGUCAAUAGAACACAGCAGCAUUUUAAAUGAGCAGCUCAAGAUUGGAUUCUACUAACAUAGUUGGUGUCUAUGAUCAAUAGCUCAAAGGAGAAAAUCUGUAUAAAUAUAAUGGUAGACACUGAAAACGCAUUUGAAAAAAAAAUUUAACAUCUGAUCCUAAUAAAUGGGCUUCAUGAAUAAUCUUGACAUAAUAAAGCACUGUCAGCACAGAGUCACAAACCAUGAGAUCAUGCCCUGAGCCAAAAUCAAGAGCCAGACGCUUAACCAACUGAGCCACCCAGGUGCCCCAUAAAGCAUUCUAUUUCUACUCUAUAGGUUAAAAUUAUACGUGGGAGUGAAAUACUACAGACUUUCAUAAAGUCAGAAACAAGAAUGCCCAUUAUCAUAUUAAAUCAAACUGAAAAUUACUGGAAAUUAUAAUAAAAUGUCUUCAGUUAAAAAAAAGACUGCUUUCCUAUAUAAGCAGUGACUAGUUUAAAAUAUUACAAUACUAUUAUUUAAUAACAUGAAAAGGCCAUUUCUAAAGGCAACAACAGUAUUUUUGGAAACUUUUAAAAAAAUUAACAGCUACCGUAAAGAAAAUUUUGGAACUUUUAAUGAGGAACAUGCAAAAAACCAAUUCUAUGUUCUCAAUGGAAAGACUCCUAAGUAAAUUUAAACACUUAAUGUUUCCAGUUAAAAUCCUAACAAGAUAUCUUGGGGAAAGUGAACAAAAUGAUUCUAAAAGUCACAUGAAAAAAUAAACAGGCAAAAAUAGAAAACUUUGAAAAAGGGACAACUAAGCUCUGUCCUACAGCAAGUAUUACUGCCUGCAGUGUACUAUACAUCGUUCUAGGGAUUGAAAAUAGAGUGAUUAAAAAAAGGACUACAAGGACCGAUGCAUAAUUUAUACAGACAUAAUGCAACUGUAGAACUUGUAACAGAAGAGAUGAGGGUGGAACGCAACUGAAAGCCCAGAAACAGACCUGAAUAAGACAUAGAUGGCAUUUACAAACUAUGACUAGGACGCACUGCUCACCAAUGCUGCUUGCGUCAUCAGGUUAGCCACUCCGAGAAAGCCUUAAGUCGUCGCUCACCUCACAAAACUGAAUUCUAAGGUGAUUUAGAAUUAAGUGUAAAAGAAGCCAGAGAAGUAAAAUAAAACUUAUGUGAAUAUUAAAAUAAUCUUGGAGAAAGCUUUUCUAAGGAGAAACCAUAGGAAAAGAUGAAUAGAAUUGGCUACAUAUAUAAUAAAUUUUUCCUACAUCAAAACACACCAUACAGUGUUUUUAAAAUUAUACUUUACAUAGGGCUAUCUUCUUUAUCUCUGUUGCUCUUUCAAGCAAUAAUUGAACAUGAAUAGUUAAUAAAACAAAAUAUACCUGGCUAACAUGAAAUAAUGAAUUUCAUUAGUAAUCAAAUAAAUACAAAUCGAAAUGAUUUAUCACCUGUCAAAAUGGCAGAUUUAAAAGUUUUAAAUACCCAGCAUAGCUAAGUGAAAAGUAAUAGGAAUGAAUGUAAAAUUUGCAAACCCUUCCUGAGGGCAAUUUGGAUAUAGCAAAUUUUACCAAAUAUACUCCUAUACACCAGCAAUUCCAAGGAAAUCAUGCAUAUUUGUUUUUAUGUGGAUUUUCAUCACAGUUAUUUAUAACAGAAGGGUUAGAAAUAUUUUGUGUCCGGCAAUAAGGAAAUUGGAAGCUACGGUUCUUCUUUUUAUAAGGGAAUAACUUAACAACCAUUAAAAAGAGGGUAGAAUUUAAUUAUUGGCAUAGCAGGAUGUUCACAAUGUAUUAUUAAAUGAAAAAAAUAAACUACAAAGUUACGGGUAACAUAAACCCAUUGUUUUAAGAAAAAGAUUAGAUACGCAUUUAUAUACAUCCAUCAAAGUCUAAUUAUUAACGGUUCUCUUUGGAGGUGUUCCUACAUUUUCAAAUAUGUACCAGUCUAAAAAGGACAAAGUAAGUAUUCCGGGUUUUAGGUUUUGUCAAUAAAACACGGCACAAUGGAUAAUAAGUGGUCAUCUUUUUCAGAUUAUUUAUUAAGAUUAUUCCUGGAAGUCUGUACUGGAUAUAAGCAAGAAUAAAACAAGGCUAAAAAUGGCCUCGAAUUCUUAUGGCAGUUUAUUUACAGACUAUCGAAUACAGCCUUUAUGUAUUUAUUUUUAAACAAAUGGCUUCUAUUAAACACAUUAAACAGUUACAAGACUUUACUAAAAGUUCUUGCAAAAAAGUACAACACCUUUACAACAAACUAGCUGUCAAAGAAAACCAAGGGGUGAUUCACUUACAGGGCCUCAUUUUGAAUGCAACUACAACUAGGAAUUGUUUUGACGUGAUGAAGAGGGUAAGACCCACAAAAUUUGUCAGUCUACACAAUUUAAAGACAAGUUCUGUUAUGGUCAAAAUUUUGUUUUCUCGCCUUCAAGUGGAUCCCUUGAUAGCUUAUUAAUUUAAUAGCUUUUAUUUUUAAUUAAAUUAAAAGCAGCUUGAGAAAUUACCUGGAGAGGCUUUGGUAAAUGACAAACCGUUGCUCCCUCAUGACACCACUGGAAAUUAUAAACCCUUGAAAGAUUUUAAAAGUAAUGUUUGCAGGCCUGCUAGCAUAGACUUUCCUCCUCUAAAGAGAAAACAAAUGUAAAUGAUUCAGUUCACUACCUAAUCGUUAUUUAAAAACUACUGUUGUUAAAAAGAAACAAACAAAAAACAAACCAAAAAAACGAGGAGCCUCCUUUUGAAGAACUAUCCAUCCUGUAUAGGCUUCUAAUGAAGUUUUUCUAAAGUUUUGUUUUAGUCUAUUUUUUGAGUCAUUUUAUAAGUUGACUUUUUAAAACCAUUUGUUAAGGUAGUUGUUCAGUAUUCUAAAUUUAAUUAUUUUACUUCACUGUAACACUGGUAAUUUUUUUUUUUUUUUUUAAGUUUGAGAGAGUGAGUGUGCACAUGCGUGAGCAGGGGAGGGGCAAGAGAGAAUCCCAAGCAGGCUUCUGUCAGUCUGGCCCCAACAUUGGUAACUAUUUUAAGUCAAUUUUUUUAAAAAAGUUAAGUGUUUUCUGCAGAAUUUAGAUGUGGCUUAGAGGAACUGCCCUGGAAAUCCAUCUCUACAUCUCAUUUGUCUUAGGCUGUAAAAGUGAGGGGACAGACCAGAUGAUUAGAAUAUUGGAAGGAAUGUCCUGUUCAGACUUUAAAAAUCUCAAAACCAGUAUCCCAGAGGAUCAGUAGAUUUUCAUUCAGAACUCGUAUUUCAAGUUUAUUUUAACAAAAGGUGGGGGGAGGGACUAUGGUGAAAAGUUGUGUAAAAUAUGAUUAAGCUCCUAGCAAACACGGCAAAACUUUGACUCGCAAGUUCCAGAGAGAGUAGUUUGGAAGCACUUAACCCAUUUACCUUCCACUUUUCUUAAGAAAUCCUGAUAUUUCCUACAAAUUGGCCUAUUACAAAUUGGCCAGAUGCAACUUAAAAUUUGUUUUCAUCAUAGAGUUUCCAGUUGUUCUAUUUUGUUCCAGAAUGUUAUUUCUUUAUUGUUUCCACUUUAAAACUGCACACGCACAUGGUCACUUCUUACAUUCACUUAAGAGUAAUGUAGAUACAGCUGAGAGUAGCAAAUACUACUAGCUUCUCCAGACCCUUUUUAAAAUCUUAUCAGCCCACUGGAAGCGUGACUGAAUGCCCUUCACAAGUUAACUGACGUAGCCCAAGGCACUGAAUAUAUAUACUCACUGACAGAAUGAAGCCCUGAAUCACAGCCAAAGCAUUAUCUUAAUUCACAUUCCACAAACCAUUUUCAUCAAUAAACCUCUUAAAACGAGUCUUAAAAAUUUCAUGGGUGACUACAAUUCUUCCACAAAGAACAGACUGAAGACUUUUAAGUUGCAUGCAGAAAAACUUGCCGCGUCAGGAAAUAUAAAUGGGAAUUUCACAUGGGAGAUAAGAAGUUUUCUUCUUUUGGUAGGUCAAUCUUUUAUUUUCAUCUUCAUAUUUGCAAUCUGACUUACCUGUUUCUUUCCCCAAAACUUAAGUAACGUUUUAUGGUCCUUAGACUUUACUCAAGAAUACUCGUGAUUACUGCAAUUAUAACCUAUGUAAUUAGUGAUUUCCAUCCCGGCUCUUUUUAUUAAUCCGGAUUUACUAAAGUAUUAAAUGGUAUGGAAGGAUGCAUUGAGAUUUUUAUUACCGUAUUUCACCGACUGUUUCAUAUAAUAACAUCUAUGAAUUUGGGAAGUAUCUUACAAUUACUGCAUCUGGGCAUUGUGUUGUGGUUUAACCGGCAAGAUUUUUUCUAAGUGGUGCGUAAGAUACUGGUAUAUUUCACAAUUAAUACUGUCUAAGGGUAAUACUAUCAGCUGUAGUUCAAAUUUCCAAUUUCAAGCAACAACUUCCCUGUCCUCCCAGCCACUCUCCCAACAUAAAUAUAUAACUGAAAUGUUGGAAAAACUAUCCAAACACAGUUCAAUUUUAUAUAAAAUAUUUAAUUUUUAAAACACAGGCUAUUCAUGUCACAUAAAUAUCUUCAAUUUUCGGUUAGCUGCUAUGGUCAGCAGAAUUAUCAAGUGUGACUAUUAAGAAUAACUUAAGAUACUGUCACUUAUAGGAAAGUCUAAAGCGCUAAGACUCACCAUAUUAAAAUUUGAGAUAGUUGAAUACUGUAGCUAUUUUGCUAAAUUUGAAGUAUUUCUUCACCUCCUGCAAUGUAGUUUUAAGUUGUUAGUACUCAAAAUUCAAAUAAAAGCAAAAUAAUUGUUCUUCCAUUCAUUUUUCUCCCCAAUAACAAAAAAAAAAUUCCAUCAAAAAAAUAAAAUGAUCAACUGACAUCAACUCAUUUUAUAGCAGUAAAAUGGUAAAAUAUCCACUUUAAAAUAUCCUUGCUGUCACCAAACUGUAAUGCUUCCCAUAUAGUAUUUUGAAAUGAAGGUUCACAAGUCAGAGGGCAUGGGGUUAAAAGACUGACUUUAGAACUGGAGCAAAUUUCCAUUCUAAAACAGUUCUUCCGAUUUACAAUUCCAAUGAAAAAGUAAGUUACCAGGAGAAAGAACAGUUAAAACAAAAUGGUUAAUUGGCACAGCUCUCAUUUCCAGAGUUUAUUUUUCCAUUCAGGGAUACUGGAAACACUGGUUAUUCACCUUUGGUUCCUUUUGAGAAUUUAUUGUAAUUGUACGUGUGCCUGAGCGUGCACGAGAAGUUAGUUAGACUUGACACCAUUACAGCUUACAUAGGAUAGGGUUAGUCCAUCCUUCUUUGCUGCUUUUAAUAAAAGAGAAAAAUGCUAAAAUGAACUAAGGUUGCUCUAAGUCUGGCAGAAGUCCUAAUAAACCUCACAGAAGGUGAGAGGAAGGAAGAGAAGAGGUUUUCUCUCACUACUUUUUUUGUUUCAAUAAAUUCAGUGUAGGCAAAGUUUCUAGUUAACAAACUGAACGGCUUUUUCUUAAAAUGGCAAUUGCGUAACUUAAAAUAUGAUGUCUGCCUCCCCUCCCCCCAUGAACUUUAAUAGAAUCAGGCAAUUCUGUUUAUUAAGCCUUGCUUCUGCACUACUGCCCUCCAAUUAUCCAUGGCAAAAGGAAAACAGGGACAAUAUGGCAGCCUGAAAACGGGUACUCUAAAAUUCUCAUUUAGCUAUUACUUUCAACCACUUAAAUGAUGUAACUUUUUAGAACUUCUUGGAAGUAACAAGAUACUGACUGGAGUUCUAAUCCCUUUCUUUGCUCUCACGCUCCUAGCAAGACAAGGUGGUAGUGGAAGGUAACAUAGCCCAAAGACAGGCAGGAAAGAAGAAAGUGUGACAGGCAGAGGGAAUGAGUCUAGCGGGAACUGAACAGGCAGCAGUCCCUAAACACUGGAGAGCUCCCUGCCUCUUCAAUACAGUAUUGAUUCCCUUUAGAAGACAAAAUGGGUGUAAAGGUUAACUGCUUUUUCAGACCUUCAGCUUACCUGUUAAGGCACUUACUUACCCUCCCCACCCCAUAUUUUUCAUAUAAAACCCACUAUUUCAUUUGAAUGCAUUUUGCUCGGCUAUGAUAAUCUGCAAAAUAAAACAAAAAUAACGUUGACCAUUUUUUUUUAUAAAACUGUUGCAUCAAGAGAAAGGUUGUGUUUUAUUUUCUGAAGUGAGCACAAAGUACACCUUUCACAAUAACACUGGAAGCAGGUGCAAAGACUGACAGUGACCUUUGACUAAAGGUAGCUUUGUAAAAAGAAAAAUACCAAAUAAAUCAGUGCCCUUUCUGAUUGUUGUAAAACUGGAGGGGGGGAGGGGUUGGUUGGUUGUUACAUAAAAGUUGGUCCAAACUUACAAAAAAAGCACAAAUGUGCAUAGUUCAGAAGAUCUGCAAGAGGGCCAUAAAAAGACUCUUAUGUCCCUAAGAUUAGCAUCCACGUAAAACUGCAAGAAUACAAAAUAAAAUUGUUAACUAGAAUUUGUGAAGAUGUACAAUCAAUAGAUCUAGUUUUUAGAACAGCAUGAAUUUAAGCAAAGGUUUUUUUUUUCUUUUUUUUUUUAACUAUUGUAUGCAAGACCCUUUUCCACAUAAAAAUAAAGCUGUUGUUGAAUUAAUAUUAUUCAAGUCUCUUGGAUUGCUGCCUUAAAUUGCAGCUAGAAAAGUCUUUCCAGAUAAAAAUGAUGUGCCUGAGGAAAAACAGAUACUCAGUAUGGUAACCCUCUGCCUCGACCUCUGCCAGCUGAUGUGCUAAUGUGUCCCCUGUAUCCUUGUGAAUAUCCAGGUCCUUGGGCAGGAGAAGUCCAGGUCUGUCCAUGCAUGAGGCCGGGGCCACCCGGGUUUUCCUGUAAGUUACCACCAUAGUUAUAGUUGUGCAUCUUUGCUGGCAAAGGAUGAGUACUCUCUGGCCCUGUGGGAGGGUCACUGCUGUUUGCCAGGACUGCAAUGGGGCCAUGGCUAUAUUCAAAUCUAUGGUCCUUGUCUCCACUGAACAACAUGGGACCAGUAUUGAGGUAAAUGUCUCCGUAUCCAGCUACUGAACUGGGAAAUGACUCGGAAAAGGCAGAAGGCUGAGGUGGACCACCAGAAUGAGAUGAAGAAGUACUGUAGUUAUCCAAAGACUGAAUAUCUGAGUUUCCAAUGAAGCUACGUCGUUCCAAUGGUGGAGGAGCAGAGCUACUUCCCAGACCAUCAUUGCUAACAUAAGGAGCGGAAGAGAAAGAAGAGGAUCCAAAAUUGUCCUUGUAGUCUGAUGUGGGCACAUAAGUGUCUCCUGCCUGGUAAUCCAUACCACUUUCUCUUUUGGGAUCAUCCUGGGGCUGAUGCUGAGCGAGCAGCUGUAACAGGGCGGCUUUCACUCCGGCAUGAGGGUCAGUUAACGAAGAACUGGUGGUGGGUACGUGCUGGUUUUCUGUCCGAUAAUCCAGAUCUUCUUCGGUCACUGGUGGUGGUUCAGGCGGUUCAGGAGGUCGCUGAUCAGGAGGGAGGAUACGAGGCCGGUCCGGUUCUGGGGUGAGCUCCAAUAUCCUCAUAUCUUGGUGCUGAAUGAGGUCAUCUUGCCCUAAGUGAAACAAAGCAAAAAGAAAAGGAAAAAAAAAAAGAGAGAGAGAGAGUCAAAAGUGAUCAUGGAAAACUACGUGUUUCAAAAUAGUCAGUUUCCUACAGGUGGUCCUAAAGAACAUCACAAGUUCCGGAAGUUCCAUUUCCAGCAAAAAAAAAGGAACGAAAGGAAACAGGGAUAUAAAUACUAAUAUUGCCUUCUACCAUUUAGGUCUGUGGUGACUGAAAAAUUUAACUGCAUUGGACUUUUCCAAGGUAUCUCACAUCUACCUAUUUAUUGCCUGAAGAACAAAAGCUACCGUACACACAAAGUUUCUGCCUUGCUCAAUUAUGUUGUUGUAGUUGGAGUAAAUUAUUUCUUCCAUCAGAGGUUUACAUGAGAAAAAUCUCUGGCAUUCUUAAUGAGCUACAGCACACAUGGGUAAUUUGUCAAAGAAUCUACUCUUCCUAGGAGUAAAUGGACUCACGAACCAACCUAUGACCAGUGACCUGGGAAUUUUCAGAACAUCUACUCCUAGCAAUGCCACCAAACGAUACACAUCAGAGACACCCCCCCCCCCCCCAAUCAAGAAAAACAGUGUGGACACUGUUAGCGGUCUGCUCUCUGCACACUCACCCGAUGCCGGAGUGCUAGGUUCUGGAGGUGGCCUGAGUUGUAAUGACGCUUCAUGUCCCGACCCAUUUUCCCUGUCUUCCAGUAGCACAUCUUUCUGCUUGGACUGCUGGGCCUUUAUUAACUGAGUCAGCAGAACUGCGAACGCGCUCUGCACGGCCGCCUGGGCAGCAUCAGUCUCCACUUUAGGCUGCGCGCUCUGAGAAGAAGGCUGAAUUCCUCCCAAUGGUUUCGAAGACUCCUGUUGUGGUGUGGAUGGGUCUGUCUGUUUUUCACCUGUUGCCAAAAUUCCAGCAGGAAGGUUUAUUUUAUUUAGCUGCUGUUGAGUCUCAGAGUUUACCUUAAUGUUCAACACUUGGACAAAAUCAGCCAUAUUAACACUUGUUUUAGACUGUAGUAGGUUUAGUAGAAUUGCCAAUUCACUGUGGUUUAACUGCUGUCCAGGGCCUGUUUUUACUAAAGACAAAAUUUGUAUUAAUUAGAAUUGCCAUAAUUCACAGCACACCCCGGCCCCCCAAAAUGCCUCUAUAUUACCCUAUUAAAAUGCCCAUUUGUGGGACAGUGUGUAGGAAACACCGUGAAACAGGAAUCUCAGUCUGGUUCUAAUUUCAUGUAUGUACAUUUAAGAUGUAACUGCAUGUAAGUCAAAACAACAACAACACACUGCAGCCCGUUUUGAAGAAUUCUCUUCAGGGCUCAAGAGUUCAAAAGGAAAACCAAGACUACUGCUGGAGCCCCGUACGGUAGGUGUGAGUGGGAUUUGCCAGCUGUGAGCAGGGACUGGAGGCGGCGGCGCGGGGCAGCUACAGUGUCAGGCACUCUUGAAGCAUUUGGGAUCUUUCAUUCCUCGCAACAACCUUGAAGGCACCCUCUAUUAUUACUCCCAGUUUGUUUGUUUUUAAACUGAAGAAGAAACUGACAUCCAGGGACACUAAAUAAUUUGCCCAAGGUCACAAACUCUGUAAGCGGCCAAGUUGAGAUCAGAACCCAGGUAUUCUGAUUCCGGAGUCUGAGCUCUUAACUACUCACUAAAAUCAUCUUAAAUAAGCUCAUCUAAAAUCAUGCUUAUUAUCUGAGGACCUAACCUGAUUUUGCUGUAAAUUCAAACUGAGAUGUUAUAGACUCCUUAAUAAAAUGUAUUUUAUUCAAAUUACCUUUUUUUUAAGGUAAGUCCCUUAGGGUAAGUUAGGAACUCCUACAGAAGCAUGCUUAUAAUGCUCAUGCAAGAUGGUAUUAACUCAUCACCAACAAAACAGAUGGCGUUGUUUUUCAAUUUUCAGUUGAGGCUAGUGACGGUUUACACAGGUUCUCGUGCAAGCUUCUCUGAGCCACACGUAACAAGGCUCGAAUGUGUAUGAUACCACAGAAGUUCAGCGACACUACUCUGAUAAGCAAUUUCUAUUAUAAGAAUGAUGAACCAACAGAAGAGAAACUCCAAGAAAAUAAAAAACGGAUGAGUAACGCUCUCCUUUUAUUUUCUCUCUUUAUAUAUAUUUUAAGAGCCUUUUUAUUACUUCUUAAUGUUAUUUGUAGGUUAACUCAAAACAAACUUUUGCAAGUUCUUCCUGUGACUCGCAGGCAUUAAGAAACAAAGAGCCAUGUCUGUUUGCUGCAUCCUAAGAGCCAGCUUCCCCUCAUUUUCCAUUUUAUUUCUACAUCAGCAGAGGCAGGCUCUGUGUGAGCUUGCAAGUAUUCUGUAACUAUGGUGUCUCCUCUAACAAAAAGGGCAUUUUCUUUUAAAAUAACACAGUUGAUGAUGAAGAAAAUGAAGCAGAGAGGAUUCAUUCCUAUUUCACAAAACCAGGAUUCUUCUUAACAGUGACAGUUUCAAAAAAAGGAAAACAAAAGAUAAAAUGAAACUCUGAGCAACAAAUAACAAUUGCUUUUGGUUUGUAAAGUAAUGUACCAGUACUUUAAUGCAGUCUGACCAAGGUCAAGUAUAAGCUUGCAGAUUACAUGGGAAAGCAUUAAUGGUAAAUCUUUCUCAGCUAAUCUACUCUAUAUUUAUAUCCAACCACCAAAGUUCAAUCUGAUCAGAUCUGUUUUAAUCAACUAACUGAUCUUUAAAACUAAAUGACAGAAUGAGUUUAACAACAUUUCUGACAACACUCAAGAGGCCGAAUUCUCAUGAAGAAGAUUACUCUUAUGACAGACUGAUCCAGAGGAAGAAAUUUAGUAAGUUUCCCCCAGAUAGCCUCCUUUAUCAUACUUCAAGUCAUUUUUCGAACAAUAUGAGGUUCCAAUUUUUGAGAUUCUAUAAUAUUAACAGGCCAUGUAGUAAGAGUGAUCUGAGGACAUUAUAAACAGAAUGAAAGAACUUCUAUUAUGAAUUUUGGCUGUCUUCCUGUAUCUUUCUAUGGAUUCUUGCCCUAGGGAGAAAAAGGAAAUAGAGAAAUCUGACCAUUCACUAAUCAUAUGUAAUUUGAUGCUCUUCUGAAGUGCCUCUUACCUUAAGAUUGUUUCAUAUUGUGAUGCCAGUAGCAGUAAAAUGUCUAUACUGGCACAAGCAAUUAACAGGGAAAUGUCAAGUUUGGUGAGUAAAUCCUAAUGUUUUAGCCACAAAUGCUUUAACACGAUAACAACAUAAUCACAGCUAGCCACAAAACGAGGGAAGAAAACCAACCCGGGAAGCAUUACUGACCAGGCGCUACGUUCGAGUUGCCCUGAGGUUUCAGCUGUGAAGAUGGCAGCACGCCCUGCGGUGUGCUGGUCCUGCUGUCAUCUAAGCCAAGAGACAAGUCCUUUCUGGGGGCUUUAAUUGUUGAAACAUCAUCGGUCAUGCCCAUCUGCUUCUGUCUUCUUCGCUUUUUACUCCACAGCUCAUGACAAUCUUGCCAUAAAGGAAGACUGGAAAAAAAAAAGGUAUCAAAUUGUUUGUCAGUGUUAUUUCUUAACGACAACCAAAACCUGCUAAUAUUUCCUACACAGCACCAAAGCUGCCACCCCACACCCCUGCCAGUUGAUCGUGAAGACUCCAUACACAUGCUGUGUGAGCCCCUCAACAAAAAUCAUCCUUGAGGCCCCACCUCUAUCAGGGAUUCACUUUUACAAAUGGACUGUUUUUCUGUGGCUUCUGAAUAAUUGACAAAUAAUCAUUUAUUAAAACUAUGAAUGAACGGGGCGCCUGGGUGGCUAAGUCGGUUAUGCAUCCGACUUUGGCUCAGGUCAUAAUCUCGCAGUUCGUGGGUUUGAGCCCCGUGUCGGGCUCUGUGCUGACAGCUUGGAGCCUGAAGCCUGCUUCGGAUUGUGUGUCUCCCUCUCUAUCUGCCCCUCCCCCGCUCAGUCUCUCUCUCUCUCUAUAAAAAAUGAAACAUUAAAAAAAUUUUUAAAAACUAUGAAUGAAGAACACAUGUUCAUAAAACUUUGUUACUAUUAUCCUUGGUGCAGUCUUUUAAAGCCAGUUCUUAUCACAGUACACCAUACACUGAACAGGACAUGGAAAAAAAGGCAAAAAAUAUGCCAUUCGCAGGAAAUGGAAACAGGAUUAAAGAGUAGUAAAGGCUAGGAGAUAACAUUUGUGAAAGACUUUCUAGUAAAAGCUUUUUACUUUUUUAAUACCCUCUUAUUUACUUCCAUAAUCAAAUGCUCUAAAAUGAAACUAUGCUACAGAGAAGGUUCAAAAAUAGGUAGUCCAGGCUAAUUACUCAUCAAUAAAGAGUUCUGAAUACCUAGCAGCUAUCAAAAUUACCCACAAUUCUGAAACAGUUCUACCUUCAUUAAUGUAAUUUCUUAAAACUGACAACACUACAGAGUAACUUUUGCCUAAAGAAAGAUGUAAGUGGUUGAUUUAUAAAUGUUUUCUUCUUAUCCUAAUAAAAAUUCCAAUGGGAAGUUACUAUUAUAUCUAUUUUAAAGAUGAGAAAAUUGAGGCUUGGAAAGGUUAAUAAACUUGCCCAGAAUAUCUACAAAUUCUCUUAAGCAGCCCCAACCUGGUUGAUACAGCUACAAGUCUUCAACCUGGGUGUGUUCACCUCUAGGGAUGCUUUUGAAGGGGAUGCACCUGAAAUGGUUUUAAAACAACUGACAUAGCUUUCCUACAAUUGACUUUGGAGAAUGGCCUGCACAGCAAGUUCUUUCACACCUCCUCUUUCACAAUUACUCUCAUCUCAUGUUACAAAAUAAAGGCAUAUGCAACAAUAUGGUCGAAUCUUAGCAAUAUAAUAUCAAGUAAAAAAAAGUCAUUCCCAAAAGAUUACAAACAGCAUGACACUCUUUUAUAAAAUUAAAAACAACUAAAAAUUUUAAAAUAUAACUUUUUAUGAGUACAUAUAGAUGGCAACAAAAGUAUAUACAAAAGAAAACAGGGAUGAUGGUUACCUCAGGUGGAGGAAGGCAAGGGGAUAGGUCGUGGGGCAGGGGGUGGGGAGAGGGUAUGAUAUGACUAACGUAGGUUAUUUCCAAGGUUCUAGCUUUUAUUUGGUAGGUUCAUGGCUGCUUAUUAACAUCAUUUAAAAUAACUAAUUAAGUAACUAAAAGAAAAAAAAGAGAGCCAUGCAUGGACCAAUGAUGAGUGACACAAGGAUUAUGAUUAAACCAAGUCUAUGCACCUGAGGUCCAAAAACAAAACAAAGGCAUACCUCUCAGCCAUCUUACUAUGGUGCAUUGCCUCAGCGUGUAAAAACCUCCUGGAGUAACAAACAAAGGUACAAUUUGAAAUAUUGAUAUUGGGAAGCUUUAAGGCAUCAUAAACCCGCCAAAGACUUUCCUUUCUGUGUGUGUGUUUAUGUAUUUUAAGAUGUGUGGCCUUAGCCCCUGCUGGGAUAUUCCGAAUUCAGAUAUACUGCGGUACUCAGAGUGGGGCAACAGGAGUGACUUCACUUCUUCCACCCUGAUGCUCUUGCAGGAGAGCCCCAUAACGGGAAAGCAAAGAAAUCCACAGGAAAGGGCUUCUGGGCUCCCUCCCACAAUUUAAAGCUGAGAGAUUCUUUAUGGAUGAUCUCCACGCUCAUCUCUAGGAAAGACCAACAUUACCCAACCAAUAGCUGUAAUGUAUAGGUUAGUGAUGCAGACUCUGGAUAUACCGGCAAUGUUUUCCAGGAUGACCACAUUUUUAUGUGCUUUUUCUGAAGGUUCAAAUACCGGCUCAGCCACUUACUUAUUGGCUCUCAUUAGGCAAGUAACUUGACCUCUGUGCCUCAGUUUCCUUAUCUUUAAAAAUGAGAUUAACAAUAUAAUCUACCUUAUGGGGUAGAGGUAAUGAUAUAUGUUAACAUAUGUAAGCGCUGGACAGUGCCCCUCACAUAGUAGGCACUGUAUUCACGCUUGAUACCCAUUUAUCAUCAUUCCGUAAGAUAGUUUAAAACUACUUUUAUCAAAUCACUCACAUCAUGAAAUGCUUAUUCCAAUUACAGUUGAUCAUAUUUUAUCUUAUAAAUUGUUCAGUGCUUUUCACUUACUGUUGAGAAAAAAUAAAAUUAUAGGCUAGCUGUCACUUUUUCACUUUUUAGUAAUAUGUUUUUUUCUUUCCAUUAAAUAUGCCAGUAAAGUUUUGACACCACAUCUAAUAUAAUUAAUGCAGUUGUUUUGUUUUUUUGUUUUAACAUCCUAUUCUCAUUUGAUUAUUCCUAAAAUUAAUCACAAUAUCAUUAUACUUUCAACCUGAAUGCUUUAGUGAUGCAUCCUGUAAUUUAUUACUGGAUUACAGCCUGUUCACCAAAAUGUGUAUUAAUAUGCUUUUUUUUUUUUUAAUAUGCUUAUUUUUAAUGGAGAAAUGCAGUCAGGUGUGUUCUGGUAAAAAUUAGGUGAUGUGUUUGACAAUAUGGACAGGUUCCAAUUAGGUUAUAUGACAGAUGUUUUCCAUUAAUUAAAUGGGAUGUAUCUACAGUUCCAAGGUUUUCACAAAACCAUGCAUUUUAAAAAUGUAUUAAGAAAAACGAUGUAACAUAUAGAUUGGCGAAGUUGUACUGACGUUACAUGUUGACACCCUAAACUUUUCCAAGUAUACUUACUGGAUGAAAUAAGUGUUAAUAAAAGAAAAAGUACGAAGUAUAAGAAAUCAUUUAAUAAGAUACUAAUAAAGCUUCUUUAGUUUAUUUUCUCAAAAUUUGAAAAAAUAAUGAAUGACUCUUAAAAAUCUUUUCAAGCCAUAGGCUUUCCAAUUCUUUACUGUCAAGAAAAUUAAAACAGAACCUUAAGUCGACAUCUGAAAGGUCAUUAUCAUAAUUUCUGAUGAGAGAUCACUCUGUGAUUUUUGGACAUAAUAUGGAAGGAGUGCAAAGAACUCAGUGAUAAAACUAUGACAAAAGACCAUUUGUUCGCAAAGGCUUACUCACAAGGGUACUUAUAAAAAGAAAAGAAUAAAAUUACAAUUAAUGUGGAACUCUCUCAUUCUAGAAUGAGUAAUAUUAAUUGGUAGAUAUAAAAAAAAUCACAGUCCUACCUAUUUCAUUAGGUUGCAUUUACAAACAAAUUUAUUAAUUUUUUCUUUCCUUAAAAAAAUGUUUUUAAUUGGAAUAUAGUUGCCAUAUAAUUUACCAUAUAAUAUUAUAUUAGUUUCAGGGCUACAACAUAGUGAGUCAACAAUUUUCUUUCCUUUUUUAAACUGAAAUAUGUACUAGUAAUAUUCACAAUGACCAUCUGAUCAAGAAGAAAAGAAGCUUAAAAUCAGAAAAAUUUUAAGAUUAAAUUUCCAUUUAUAUACAUAUAUUUGUUUUAAAGAAGUUCAAUACGGUAAUCAAUAAAAUACUUUCAAGCAUAAAUAUGUUACAUUAAAAACCUGUGAAAUUAAUAUAAGUUCCAGAUUAAAAAAAGGGACACUGUCCAAUUAUUGAAGAGUAUUCUGUAUUUUCUAAAUGAAUCUUGAUGAAUAUCAAAAUGCUAAGAUAUUUUGAUCCCAGUGGGUACAUUUACAAGAAGUGAGAUAACUGCUCCAUUUAAAAGUGUCAACACUUACCAUACACUGAAAUUUACAUCUUUUGCAACUAUCUCCACCCUUGAUUAAAACAAGUUUAGAUGUUAAUUAAAAAUAUGCUCAAUAUAAUUUUUACCAGGAUUCUUUCAUGUGGGCCACUUGAACCAGGAGAUCAACUUAGUAUUACCAAUAAUGGGAGAAGAGUGACCUUACAUUCCUCCUGAUAGGAUAGAGCAGGAAGCACACAUCACUACCUAAGUACUAUUCUUGACAAAAAAAAAAAAAAAGUUAUUCUAAUUUUGAUCACAAGAAAGCAAUUACAGCCAAAAUGUAGAAUGUUUUACAAAAUAGCUAGCUUGAACUCUUCAAAAAUGCCAAUGUCAUAAAAGCCCUCCCCCAAAGAGCAAUUAAAGACUGAAGAGAAUUACAACCAAAUCCAAUGAGUGAGCUUUGACUGAAUUCUUCAUCAAAAAAACACAAAAAACAAAACAAAAACUAUAAAGGAAAUUACUGGGACAACUGGAGAAAUUUAAAUAUGGAUUGCCUACUACAUACUGCAAUGUUAAAUUUCUUAUGCUUUAUAAUGGCACUGUAGUAACAAAGUCCCAGUUCUUACAGCUACAUGACAAAUCAUUUAUAAGUAUUGUGUCACUUCCACAAUACAAUAUUCAGAUAUUUCAGGACGAAAACCUUAUAUAUAGUGUAAAGCAAAUGUUAAUAAUUAUUGAAUCUAGGUGAAUGACAUAUAAGUACUUAUUGUACUGUUCUUCAUAUUUUUCUGCAGAGGUGAAAUUUUUCCAAAUCAGAAGUUAUAAAAGAUAUACUUUGAAGGGGUACUGGUGCCAAAGUCUCAAGCCUGCUGAUAUAUACCCACAAGCAAAGAACAACAACAACAACAAAAACCCCACCAUGAAACAAUUAAUUAAACAGCGAAUGAUUCAGGUCCUUCAACAUGUUAAGUGAUAGAUCCUUUCUGCCUGUCAAAUCAUCCCACAAUGUCUAUUCAUAUAAUUCAAUAAAAACCUAAUGAAGUUGAACGUGAAGGUCUCAGAAAUAAAAUAAGUCCAAUCUAAGUGAUAAGUGGAAGAGCCAGGAUUUGAACUCCAAAGCCCAUGUUUGUUCAUUCACAAUAUACUAAUUUUAUUACACGGAAACAUUUUAUUAUAGGGAUAGGCCUGCUUUUGUGACACUCAUCGUUCAGUUUUUAAAUUACUAUAAAAAUCCCUACAAAAGUUCUAGGUCCUAUCAAAAAAGAGAACCAAGUGGACUGCUCUGUCCCCUCCCUUUUUCCCCAAAGCAAUCCUAGAGAAAUUACAGGAGCCACAAGGGAAGGAAGGCUCAAGAACCCAGCUAUUCUGACUCCCAAACUCUAUACAUUUUCUCUGCUUCAUCCAAUAAACUCCUUCUAUACAGACUUUUGUUACUAAUGCUCUUUUAUCCAAUGAUAAGGAUUUUCUAUUAUAUAGUAUGCCAGGAAUAUUUCAGAACUUCUCUUUGUUACUGAACUAACUGGCUGGCUCCACCCUUUACUAGAUUUGUAUUCUUGGGCAAGUUUCUUAACCUCUUUGAGCCUGCUUCCUCCUCUAUAUAAAGAGGACAAUAAUAAUACCCACCUGAUAGGAUUAUAAAGAUUAAUGUAAUACAUGAAAAAUGCUUAGCAUAGCACCCAAAUUUUUAGCUAUAGCAACACUGGGGCUGGCAGAAGUAGUACUAGAAUAAUAUUAGCAGCAGGAAUAUUUUCCUAGAGUUGAAAUCUAUUAAUAAAAUUAGAAAAAGGAAAAGCUGCUCUUGCUAUUCCUAUGGUUAGCAGAACAUUAAGCAAGGUUCUAAAUUCUAGAUGUGCAAAUUAUGUGUAUUACUAGUAUUCUAUUUCUUUUGACUUAUUCUUUUUGACUUAAAUAAUCAUGCAAUAGCUUCUGAUCAUUUUAUACAGAUGCUACUAAAACUGUCCAGAUGGGAUCUAAUUAUUAAUAAAGAGCCACUUACUCUGGUGGAGGCAUCUUUGAGGGCUCCACGUCCCGAAGGAAUUCGCACUGAAGAGCCUGUUCUGCAGUGCAGCGCUUACUAGGAUCCAAGGCGAGCAUGUAAUCAAAUAAGUCUAAUGCGGCUGCAGGAAUA